GUUUUUAUAAUUUAAUCAAAAUAGUGAUCUUGUAAAUCAAAUUUGGGUAAUACCCUAAGAACU
RNAcentral lists this transfer RNA (63 nucleotides) under Thyropygus sp. DVL-2001. Its description in RNAcentral is "tRNA-Thr". The record is from RNAcentral. Lineage: Eukaryota; Metazoa; Arthropoda; Diplopoda; Spirostreptida; Harpagophoridae.